GGGAUAUUGGUCAAUGGGCGGAAGCCUGAACCAGCCAUGCCGCGUGAGGGAAUGAGGCCCUACGGGUCGUGAACCUCUUUUAUUCGGGGACAAGGACGCGGUCGCGAACCGAGUUUGAGGGUACCGAAGGAAUAAGCGUCGGCUAACUCCGUGCCAGCAGCCGCGGUAAUACGGAGGACGCGAGCGUUAUCCGGAUUCAUUGGGUUUAAAGGGUGCGCAGGCGGCUCGGCAAGUCAGCGGUGAAAGCCCGGGGCCCAACCCCGGAAGUGCCGUUGAUACUGUCGGGCUGGAAUGCGGUCGAGGCGGGCGGAACGUGGCGUGUAGCGGUGAAAUGCGUAGAUAUGCCACAGAACGCCGAUAGCGGAGGCAGCUCGCCAGGCCUGCAUUGACGCUCGGGCACGAAAGCGUGGGGAUCGAACA
This 420-nucleotide ribosomal RNA is filed under the name uncultured bacterium. RNAcentral's name for it is "bacterial SSU rRNA". It matches the Rfam family "Bacterial small subunit ribosomal RNA", at positions 358 to 774 of the family's 1533-position model. The record is from RNAcentral.